Molecule: ribosomal RNA, 432 nt
Filed under: uncultured bacterium
Lineage: Bacteria
Description: partial 16S ribosomal RNA
Rfam family: Bacterial small subunit ribosomal RNA
Source: RNAcentral
GCGAACGCUGGCGGCAGGCCUAACCCCUGCAAGUCGAACGAACUCUUCGGAGUUAGUGGCGGACGGGUGAGUAACACGUGGGAACGUGCCUUUUGGUUCGGAAUAACUCAGGGAAACUUGUGCUAAUACCGAAUGUGCCCUUCGGGGGAAAGAUUUAUCGCCAUUAGAGCGGCCCGCGUCUGAUUAGCUAGUUGGUGAGGUAACGGCUCACCAAGGCGACGAUCAGUAGCUGGUCUGAGAGGAUGACCAGCCACACUGGGACUGAGACACGGCCCAGACUCCUACGGGAGGCAGCAGUGGGGAAUCUUGCGCAAUGGGCGAAAGCCUGACGCAGCCAUGCCGCGUGAAUGAUGAAGGUCUUAGGAUUGUAAAAUUCUUUCACCGGGGACGAUAAUGACGGUACCCGGAGAAGAAGCCCCGGCUAACUUCGUG